This 279-nucleotide ribosomal RNA is filed under the name uncultured bacterium. RNAcentral's name for it is "partial 16S ribosomal RNA". It matches the Rfam family "Bacterial small subunit ribosomal RNA", at positions 506 to 784 of the family's 1533-position model. The record is from RNAcentral.
UGCCAGCAGCCGCGGUAAUACGGAGGGGGUUAGCGUUGUUCGGAAUUACUGGGCGUAAAGCGCACGUAGGCGGACUAUUAAGUCAGGGGUGAAAUCCCGGGGCUCAACCCCGGAACUGCCUUUGAUACUGGUAGUCUAGAGUUCGAGAGAGGUGAGUGGAAUACCCAGUGUAGAGGUGAAAUUCGUAGAUAUUGGGUGGAACACCAGUGGCGAAAGCGGCUUCCUGGCUCGAUACUGACGCUGAGGCGCGAAAGCGUGGGGAGCAAACGGGAUUAGAUA